UUCAUUCGAUACGAAGCGAUGAACCUUACCCGGGUUUGAAAUGUACCUGCACGGCCCCAGAAACGGGGCAAGCCUUAGAGGGUGGUACACAGCUGUUGCAUGGCUGUCGUCAGCUCGUGACGUGAGUUGUUCUCUUAAGUGAGGUAACGAGCGCAACCCCCAUUCUGUGUUACUAUGUCACAGAAGACUGCCCAGCAUUAUUUUGUUGGGAGGAAGGAGGGGACGACGUCAAGUCAUCAUGAUGCUUAUAUCCGGGGCUACACACAUCCUACAAUGGGUGGUACAGAGGGUCGCAAUACCGCGAGGUGGAGCUAAUCCUUAAAACCUCCCUCAGUUGGGAUUGCAGGCUGAAACUCGCCUGCAUGAACUUGGAAUUGGUAGUAAUCGCAAAUCAGCAGAUUGCGGUGAAUACGUUCUCGCCUCUUG
RNAcentral lists this ribosomal RNA (426 nucleotides) under bacterium enrichment culture DGGE gel band B12. RNAcentral's name for it is "bacterial SSU rRNA". It matches the Rfam family "Bacterial small subunit ribosomal RNA", at positions 946 to 1383 of the family's 1533-position model. The record is from RNAcentral.